This 539-nucleotide ribosomal RNA is filed under the name uncultured bacterium. Its description in RNAcentral is "bacterial SSU rRNA". It matches the Rfam family "Bacterial small subunit ribosomal RNA", at positions 335 to 865 of the family's 1533-position model. The record is from RNAcentral.
ACUCCUACGGGAGGCAGCAGUGGGGAAUUUUGGACAAUGGGGGCAACCCUGAUCCAGCCAUGCCGCGUGAGUGAAGAAGGCCUUCGGGUUGUAAAGCUCUUUCAGCCGGGAAGAAAUCGCACAGGCUAAUACCUUGUGUGGAUGACGGUACCGGAAUAAGAAGCACCGGCUAACUACGUGCCAGCAGCCGCGGUAAUACGUAGGGUGCGAGCGUUAAUCGGAAUUACUGGACGUAAAGCGUGCGCAGGCGGUUUUGUAAGACAGGCGUGAAAUCCCCGGGCUCAACCUGGGAACUGCGCUUGUGACUGCAAGGCUAGAGUACGGCAGAGGGGGGUGGAAUUCCACGUGUAGCAGUGAAAUGCGUAGAGAUGUGGAGGAACACCAAUGGCGAAGGCAGCCCCCUGGGUCGAUACUGACGCUCAUGCACGAAAGCGUGGGUAGCAAACAGGAUUAGAUACCCUGGUAGUCCACGCCCUAAACGAUGUCAACUAGGUGUUGGGUGGGUAAAACCAUUUAGUACCGGAGCUAACGCGUGAAGU